AGACCCGAAACCCGGUGAUCUAGCCAUGGGCAGGUUGAAGGUUGGGUAACACUAACUGGAGGACCGAACCGACUAAUGUUGAAAAAUUAGCGGAUGACCUGUGGCUGGGGGUGAAAGGCCAAUCAAACCGGGAGAUAGCUGGUUCUCCCCGAAAGCUAUUUAGGUAGCGCCUCGUGAAUUCAUCUCCGGGGGUAGAGCACUGUUUCGGCUAGGGGGCCAUCCCGGCUUACCAACCCGAUGCAAACUGCGAAUACCGGAGAAUGUUAUCACGGGAGACACACGGCGGGUGCUAACGUCCGUCGUGAAGAGGGAAACAACCCAGACCGCCAGCUAAGGUCCCAAAGUCAUGGUUAAGUGGGAAACGAUGUGGGAAGGCCCAGACAGCCAGGAUGUUGGCUUAGAAGCAGCCAUCAUUUAAAGAAAGCGUAAUAGCUCACUGGUCGAGUCGGCCUGCGCGGAAGAUGUAACGGGGCUAAACCAUGCACCGAAGCUGCGGCAGCGACACUGUGUGUUGUUGGGUAGGGGAGCGUUCUGUAAGCCUGCGAAGGUGGCCUGUGAGGGUUGCUGGAGGUAUCAGAAGUGCGAAUGCUGACAUAAGUAACGAUAAAGCGGGUGAAAAGCCCGCUCGCCGGAAGACCAAGGGUUCCUGUCCAACGUUAAUCGGGGCAGGGUGAGUCGACCCCUAAGGCGAGGCCGAAAGGCGUAGUCGAUGGGAAACGGGUUAAUAUUCCCGUACUUGGUGUUACUGCGAAGGGGGGACGGAGAAGGCUAUGUUGGCCGGGCGACGGUUGUCCCGGUUUAAGCGUGUAGGCUGGUUUUCCAGGCAAAUCCGGAAAAUCAAGGCUGAGGCGUGACGACGAGGCACUACGGUGCUGAAGCAACAAAUGCCCUGCUUCCAGGAAAAGCCUCUAAGCAUCAGGUAACAUCAAAUCGUACCCCAAACCGACACAGGUGGUCAGGUAGAGAAUACCAAGGCGCUUGAGAGAACUCGGGUGAAGGAACUAGGCAAAAUGGUGCCGUAACUUCGGGAGAAGGCACGCUGACAUGUAGGUGAAGUGAUUUACUCAUGGAGCUGAAGUCAGUCGAAGAUACCAGCUGGCUGCAACUGUUUAUUAAAAACACAGCACUGUGCAAACACGAAAGUGGACGUAUACGGUGUGACGCCUGCCCGGUGCCGGAAGGUUAAUUGAUGGGGUCAGCGCAAGCGAAGCUCCUGAUCGAAGCCCCGGUAAACGGCGGCCGUAACUAUAACGGUCCUAAGGUAGCGAAAUUCCUUGUCGGGUAAGUUCCGACCUGCACGAAUGGCGUAAUGAUGGCCAGGCUGUCUCCACCCGAGACUCAGUGAAAUUGAACUCGCUGUGAAGAUGCAGUGUACCCGCGGCAAGACGGAAAGACCCCGUGAACCUUUACUAUAGCUUGACACUGAACAUUGAGCCUUGAUGUGUAG
Molecule: ribosomal RNA, 1447 nt
Filed under: Salmonella enterica subsp. enterica serovar Stanleyville
Lineage: Bacteria; Pseudomonadati; Pseudomonadota; Gammaproteobacteria; Enterobacterales; Enterobacteriaceae
Description: partial 23S ribosomal RNA
Rfam family: Bacterial large subunit ribosomal RNA
Source: RNAcentral